UCCGGUUUGUCACCGGCAGUCUCAUUAGAGUGCUCAACUGAAUGUAGCAACUAAUGACAAGGGUUGCGCUCGUUGCGGGACUUAACCCAACAUCUCACGACACGAGCUGACGACAGCCAUGCAGCACCUGUGUGCAGGUUCUCUUUCGAGCACGAAUCCAUCUCUGGAAACUUCCUGCCAUGUCAAAGGUGGGGAUGACGUAAGUGACCUUUGC
RNAcentral lists this unclassified non-coding RNA (214 nucleotides) under uncultured Gammaproteobacteria bacterium. RNAcentral's name for it is "contains 16S-23S intergenic spacer region". Lineage: Bacteria; Pseudomonadati; Pseudomonadota; Gammaproteobacteria. The record is from RNAcentral.